Pelobates cultripes (western spadefoot toad) is the source of this 440-nucleotide non-coding RNA. The record is from the annotation of a GenBank genome assembly. NCBI's taxonomy places the organism in Eukaryota, Metazoa, Chordata, Amphibia, Anura, Pelobatidae.
CUUUCAUGUUGUAUUUUUAUCGUUACACUCCCAUUGCCCUGGAUAUAUAUUAGAUCCCUCUAACCACUUAGAAUGUAUGCACUUUUGUGUUGUAUUCGCGGUGAGAUAACAAUUGGACGGUUUCUAGUUCUUUUCAAGAUAUAGUGGUUGCUUUUUACAGAUUUCAAAACUGUCCAUUUUUUUGACAUGUCUAGUUAUUCUCAAUAAAGCUUCUCCAGCCACCAAUGAGGAAGGGAGAGGCCCUACAGAACUGAAAUCUAUUACAGAAGAAAGAGACAGAGAUGUGUUUUUUUUUCUUUAUUCUGACCCACACAUGGCUACAGUAUGUUAAUCUACUUUUUUCCCCGUAUUUUUUGGCUUACCACCCUCCAGCCUUCUAAACUAUGUGGCUGGGUUUCAUUUCAUAUAGCUUGGCAGAGAGGGGGUUAGUAAUGUUAAAA